UAUUCCUCAGAUGCCUACGGAUGAUGGAUCUACAGGACCAGCCGCUUGGGCCGAUACUCUUAUGACUCUUGGCAUUCCGACUGCAUCUGAGGACGGGGGAAUUGCAGGACCGGCCGUUGAGCCUGAUACUACUACAGUUCCCGGGGCUGAAAGCCUGCAUAGAAGUAGUGCCUCCC
Molecule: long non-coding RNA, 176 nt
Organism: Asparagus officinalis (garden asparagus)
Lineage: Eukaryota; Viridiplantae; Streptophyta; Magnoliopsida; Asparagales; Asparagaceae
Exons: 3
Source: RefSeq, a predicted model, not a curated record